This is a long non-coding RNA of Asparagus officinalis (garden asparagus), 574 nucleotides long. RefSeq lists it as uncharacterized. Lineage: Eukaryota; Viridiplantae; Streptophyta; Magnoliopsida; Asparagales; Asparagaceae. The record is from RefSeq and is a predicted model, not a curated record. The transcript is spliced from 2 exons.
AUCUGCUCUGGUCCUUGUCCCGCCGCUCAACAAAAAAAAAAAGUUUAGAGUUGAGAGGAAGGAAGUGGUGAUUGAUCAACUCUACAUAGGUAUUUUUUUGGCACUAAGGUAGAAGUGCUCUGAUGUGUGUCAUCAACUCCAUCAGAAUAACAUGGCAAUAAGGACGUAUUACAGGCAUUAUAAUGUAGUUCUAAAGACUGGAUGUUCGGGUCCUUUUCAAAGGAAACAUCCACAUUGUUUUGAGAUAUAGAUAAUACAGAAAAUGGUGCUUGAAGAAUCCUGCAUCAAUAAGCAUCAGUACUUCAAUAAGUAGACUGCGGAAAAAACAUAUCCUCGUUUCUGUAUAAUUUUCCUCUUCGAUUGUUAUGCGGUUAGAGCAUGUAAAAGGGAUGCUGGACUAUACCUGCGGCAGACUUUGUUGAAUGUCACUAAAGCCUCCAUACGAAUCCAAGGCAUAGCAUUCUUUGUUGAAUGUCACCAAAGCCUCCAUUGCCAUUGUCUGAAACUCACAAUUGGAGCUACCUACACUGCUUAAAAAACAUGAAUGCAAUGAAAAUUACAACUCAUGUUAUUA